Non-coding RNA from Lolium perenne, 1397 nucleotides. The record is from RefSeq and is a predicted model, not a curated record. Lineage: Eukaryota; Viridiplantae; Streptophyta; Magnoliopsida; Poales; Poaceae.
UCUAAUCGCAUGGUCUUCACUUUGCCCGAUCUAAUUAGGAAACAAUCAUCGGUAUCAAUCAAUCCGGGGGCAUUAAAAUACUUGACAAAAAUCUUUUAAUGCUUGUCCUGGGGCAUUAAAAUACUUGACAAAAAUCUUUUAAUGCUUGCACUCAGCCUUUCUUUCUCUAACGCAGAUGGAAAGAAAUAUCCUUAUGUGGAGUAGUUUCCAUUUUGCACAUAUCCCACUAAUUACUCAAUCAAUUAAAAAUCAAUCACGAAAUCAAAACUAUCCGUAUUUCCUACCUAUACAUGUGAAUCUUCUUUCCUCUCCAUUCACUCUUCACAGCGUUUGACCGUGUUCUUUCUGGCAAUUUUUUCUCUCGCUCGAUCUGGAAUAAUAGGAGUUACAAGCUCGUUCUCUUGCUCCAUUCGCAUCUGCCGUCGUCGGGCCUCCACCGUGGCGUCGUCGCCUCCUCGCACGUUACCAUCGCUGGCCACCGUAGGGCCUUCAAUGUGGUCUCCGUCACACCUCCUCGCAAGGAGUUGUUGUCGAUGCAGAUGCUAGGAGGCGGCGUGGGCAUGGCAUGGUCCGACGGGGCUGACAACAAGACGCCGACGAGUCCCAUGUCCGCUCGAUUCCGUCCACCCCCGUAUCCAUGCCCAAUCAUCGACGACCUGUGGAGCCUCGCCUGGUUAAUCCCCAACUCGCCUAAGCGCUGCCUCCACGCGCUCCAUGGUGACCACGUCCGUGACCUCGAGGCCUCCACUCCCACACUUGCAAGCACACCAAGAACUUCAGAUGCAUACGUAGAGUCACCUGCAGCUCGCAAAGGAGGCCGAGAUGGAGUAUAAGAAGGUGAUCAAGAAGAUCUCCAGGCACGUCUAGGAGAUGAAGUUAGAAAGAGAGAUCAUGUUAUUGGAGAAAACAAGUCGUAGGCGAAUUCUUCCGAGCAAAAAAGGGAAGUUGUGCUUGCAUUGAGUUCUAAUCGAGUGAGCUCACGAUGUAUAUGGGGCUGCCGCAUGGUGAAAAUUAGCGCCUAAAAAUAGAAAUGCAGUCACAAAAAAGAGCAAAGGAUUUGACGAUAUUACAGAAGGCUCAAAUGGUGGUUCUCAACAACAUGUAAGGAGCGAUGGUUCAGUUGUUCAACUUAAAAUGAGUUUUUGAUAUCAUAGCUGAAUCAUGAAAUGAUUAAUUAGAGAGAAGCCAUGAAGUCUUCUGAUGAGAGAAGACAUGAUGUGUUGUUCUCUCUACGUAGAGCUAUUUGUGUUUGCGUGAUAGAAGGUUUUCAUGUAACUGAUUAACAUUGCAUUUGUAUUCUUAUUUAUUAAGAUGGUGGUUUCCUUUUCAUUUCUAGAAUGACUGGUUAUUGAUUGGCUUGUCGUAUUAACAUAGCCCAUUGGUGUUGAUCUUUGUUA